Molecule: ribosomal RNA, 253 nt
Filed under: uncultured bacterium
Lineage: Bacteria
Description: partial 16S ribosomal RNA
Rfam family: Bacterial small subunit ribosomal RNA
Source: RNAcentral
UACAGAGGGGGCAAGCGUUGUUCGGAAUUACUGGGCGUAAAGGGCUCGUAGGCGGCCAACUAAGUCAGACGUGAAAUCCCUCGGCUUAACCGGGGAACUGCGUCUGAUACUGGAUGGCUUGAGUUUGGGAGAGGGAUGCGGAAUUCCAGGUGUAGCGGUGAAAUGCGUAGAUAUCUGGAGGAACACCGGUGGCGAAGGCGGCAUCCUGGACCAAUACUGACGCUGAGGAGCGAAAGCCAGGGGAGCAAACGGG